RNAcentral lists this ribosomal RNA (207 nucleotides) under uncultured bacterium. RNAcentral describes it as "partial 16S ribosomal RNA". It matches the Rfam family "Bacterial small subunit ribosomal RNA", at positions 568 to 774 of the family's 1533-position model. The record is from RNAcentral.
UGCGUAGGCGGCCAAGUAAGUAGGAUGUGAAAUCCCACAGCUCAACUGUGGAACUGCGUUCUAUACUGCUUGGCUAGAGGAAGGUAGAGGUGAGCGGAACUGAUGGUGGAGCGGUGAAAUGCGUUGAUAUCAUCAGGAACACCAGUUGCGAAAGCGGCUCGCUGGGCCUUUUCUGACGCUGAGGCACGAAAGCUAGGGGAGCGAACG